This 65-nucleotide microRNA precursor is filed under the name Myotis brandtii (Brandt's bat). Its description in RNAcentral is "mir-9242 microRNA precursor family". It matches the Rfam family "mir-9242 microRNA precursor family". Lineage: Eukaryota; Metazoa; Chordata; Mammalia; Chiroptera; Vespertilionidae. The record is from Rfam by way of RNAcentral.
GGUCUCCCUCUGCGGGGUAAUUGAUCUGGGGGCCCCUGAGAUCGAUUGCCCCACAGAGGGAGGCC